AGUGAACGCUGGCGGUAGGCCUAACACAUGCAAGUCGAACGGCAGCACAGUAAGAGCUUGCUCUUACGGGUGGCGAGUGGCGGACGGGUGAGGAAUACAUCGGAAUCUACUUUUUCGUGGGGGAUAACGUAGGGAAACUUACGCUAAUACCGCAUACGACCUACGGGUGAAAGCAGGGGAUCUUCGCACCUUGCGCGAUUGAAUGAGCCGAUGUCGGAUUAGCUAGUUGGCGGGGUAAAGGCCCACCAAGGCGACGAUCCGUAGCUGGUCUGAGAGGAUGAUCGGCGACACUGGAACUGAGACACGGUCCAGACUCCUACGGGAGGCAGCAGUGGGGAAUAUUGGACAAUGGGCGCAAGCCUGAUCCAGCCAUACCGCGUGGGUGAAGAAGGCCUUCGGGUUGUAAAGCCCUUUUGUUGGGAAAGAAAAGCAGCAGGUUAAUACCCCGCUGUUCUGACGGUACCCAAAGAAUAAGCACCGGCUAACUUCGUG
RNAcentral lists this ribosomal RNA (492 nucleotides) under uncultured bacterium. Its description in RNAcentral is "partial 16S ribosomal RNA". It matches the Rfam family "Bacterial small subunit ribosomal RNA", at positions 29 to 507 of the family's 1533-position model. The record is from RNAcentral.